AACUUUCAGCAAUGGAUCUCUCGGCUUUCGUAUCGAUGAAGAACGCAGCGAAUCGCGAU
This is a non-coding RNA of Absidia glauca, 59 nucleotides long. Lineage: Eukaryota; Fungi; Mucoromycota; Mucoromycetes; Mucorales; Cunninghamellaceae. The record is from Rfam.